UACUGCCUCCAGCCAACUCCAGCCCAUGCACAGACUACAAGGCUUCCCCCUGCAUCACUGAUAUCCAUGUACCUAAUGCCAGCAGAGAGCUGCUGCUAAACCAGGAUCCCAAUUGCUCGUUUGCUGGAACAGGUCUCUGAAGAAGUUAGAAAAACCACAAACAUCUCCCUGGAGCCACUGGAGACUGGAGUCCUCUUGUGGCAAAAGGUAGAGGAAAAUUUCCAGUGACUGAUGACUACUGAAAGCUGGAAUCCAGUAAGAGGUACAGGGAGUAUGUACUUUGUAAAGAGCUUCGUGUCACAUUGCAGGGCAUGAAAGCAGCAGCGUGAAGACUUUGCAGCUGGCAUUGGGCAAGUAUCAAAAGGGAAAAGAUGCCACAGUGUUUUGAUACUGCAGACUGUGCUUCUGUUUACUGUGGUAGCUGCUUUCUGUUAGUGUGUUCCCUGCUAAGAUGAUGUUUCUGGCUGGAGUUUUUUUGUUUGUUUUUUUUCUGUCCUUGUGAGCAGAGGUAAUUUUUCCUGAGUGGUUUGCUAGCAGAAACUUUUCUCCUAGAUAAUAUAUUCACUGUACAGUAUCAGAGAUCAGCACCCAUCCUUCUUGUCAGUCUGGCUGAGGUGGGCAGAUAACAUAAUUCUAAGAUCUUAUUUAGAUUCUGCUGCUCUGUAUUCCAUCUCUUUUUCUGCUGUGUUGUUUCCUAUCUGCACUAGACCCUAUGGACUGCCUUGAGUUCAUCUUAGGGGACAUUUCUAUGGAUGAUGGAUGUUGGCCAUGUUACUGCCAUGUUGCCUGCCUGGAACAGCACUGCAGAAGAUGGAAUGGAUGAAAGCUGAAACAGAUGUUAUCCACUCACAAUGCCAUCCUGAUAACCCUGAGCUAAAGGCUGAAAUCCUUAACAGAUUAGAAGCUGAAAUAAAAAAUGGGUAAGUAAAGUGGGGAGUACGGCUGAACAAACUCUUAUAGGUUUCAUUUCUGUGGAUAACAAUGCACACAGGCUAUGUAAUCUCUGUGCUGAUCUGCCAGAGGAAAGAUUAAAUGGCAAAAUUCCAGCACUGAAACCUGCAGGUCUCCUCUGCUCUACUC
This is a long non-coding RNA of Catharus ustulatus (Swainson's thrush), 1080 nucleotides long. RefSeq lists it as uncharacterized. The record is from RefSeq and is a predicted model, not a curated record. The transcript has 3 exons. Lineage: Eukaryota; Metazoa; Chordata; Aves; Passeriformes; Turdidae.